This 117-nucleotide ribosomal RNA is filed under the name Danio rerio (zebrafish). Lineage: Eukaryota; Metazoa; Chordata; Actinopteri; Cypriniformes; Danionidae. The record is from RNAcentral.
AGCCACAGCCAUGUCACCCUGCAGCCCAAGUCCGGUUACUCACUGAAGCUAAGCAGGGCUGAGCCUGGUCAGUACCUGGAUGGGAGACCACCAGGGAAUACUAGGUUGCUGUUGGAA